This 460-nucleotide ribosomal RNA is filed under the name uncultured bacterium. RNAcentral's name for it is "partial 16S ribosomal RNA". It matches the Rfam family "Bacterial small subunit ribosomal RNA", at positions 338 to 795 of the family's 1533-position model. The record is from RNAcentral.
CCUACGGGUGGCAGCAGUGAGGAAUAUUGGUCAAUGGACGAGAGUCUGAACCAGCCAAGUAGCGUGAAGGAUGACUGCCCUAUGGGUUGUAAACUUCUUUUAUAUGGGAAUAAAAUGUUCCACGUGUGGGAUUUUGUAUGUACCCUAUGAAUAAGGAUCGGCUAACUCCGUGCCAGCAGCCGCGGUAAUACGGAGGAUCCGAGCGUUAUCUGGAUUUAUUGGGUUGAAAGGGAAAGUAGGUGGAUUGUUAAGUCAGUUGUGAAAGUUUGAGGCUCAACCGUAAAAUUGCAGUUGAAACUGGCAGUCUUGAGUACAGUAGAGGUGGGCGGAAUUCGUGGUGUAGCGGUGAAAUGCUUAGAUAUCACGAAGAACUCCGAUUGCGAAGGCAGUUCACUGGACUGCAACUGACACUGAGGCUCGAAAGUGUGGGUAUCAAACAGGAUUAGAUACCCUUGUAGUC